RNAcentral lists this long non-coding RNA (836 nucleotides) under Cicer arietinum (chickpea). Its description in RNAcentral is "long non-coding RNA (CARI_LNC000484)". Lineage: Eukaryota; Viridiplantae; Streptophyta; Magnoliopsida; Fabales; Fabaceae. The record is from RNAcentral.
AAAUCUCCAAAAUAGUUCCCUUGAAUCAUUCUCCACUCUUGCCAAACCCAAACUCUUGAUUGUAGCACCGCCUCUGACCACUACCAGAGAUGAGUGUGAAAAAACACAUGAAUUAAAACAAAAUUAAGCAUUGUAAAAGUGUGGUGGAGAUUGAUCGUGCAAUCGGUUUCAUCGACAAUGAAAUAUGGAUCAAGCUCAUUGAGUUCUUGAUCGAAUUUGAAACUGACCAGAUUGAUCCACAAAAUGGUGGUCACUUCAUUCUUAUUUGAGAAAACAGAGCCUUCGACGAAGUAAAGAUUGACAGAGUCGAAGAAAGAAUGGAGAUCAAUUGGUGAUUAAAAUCAAAAUCAAAAGUGUUUAGAAUUUUCAUCAUUGACGUUGAUAAUGAUAUAACAAUAUACACAUGACCACAUUUGUUGCGUAUUUCAUGAGAGAUCACAACUAUCAGACACGAUUUUCAUGUUCUUCUUGUUCUUUAUUGGAGCUUCACAGUUCACAAAUCAUGUUGGUCUUGAUAGGGAUGAUAGAAGUGUCACACUUAUUGCAAACAAGAAAUUCAUAUUGCAGCCUAACCAUCAAUGAAUUUCCAAAUCUUGUUUUCUUUGUUACUCCAUUGAUUCAGAUUCAGAUUCAAAUUCAAAUUUAGAGACUGAAAGAAAGCAAACAAUAUCUCAAAUUUGGAUGAAUACUCCUGUAAUUUAUGGUUCGAUCAUAUUUAUUGGAAAAGUAUGAUUCUUAACUGACUACCGAAUAAAUUCAUAACUGCUUUUCUCCAUGGUUGCAAUUGGAAUCUUCUGUAAGAAAUUUUAUUGGUAAGUGUUGGUGUUUCAUUCAUU